RNAcentral lists this ribosomal RNA (470 nucleotides) under uncultured Gammaproteobacteria bacterium. Its description in RNAcentral is "bacterial SSU rRNA". It matches the Rfam family "Bacterial small subunit ribosomal RNA", at positions 46 to 494 of the family's 1533-position model. Lineage: Bacteria; Pseudomonadati; Pseudomonadota; Gammaproteobacteria. The record is from RNAcentral.
GCCUAACACAUGCAAGUCGAGCGGCAGCGACAACAUUGAACCUUCGGGGGAUUUGUUGGGCGGCGAGCGGCGGACGGGUGAGUAAUGCCUGGGAAUAUGCCUUAGUGUGGGGGAUAACUAUUGGAAACGAUAGCUAAUACCGCAUAAUGCCUACGGGCCAAAGAGGGGGACCUUCGGGCCUCUCGCGCUAAGAUUAGCCCAGGUGGGAUUAGCUAGUUGGUGGGGUAAAGGCUCACCAAGGCGACGAUCCCUAGCUGGUCUGAGAGGAUGAUCAGCCACACUGGAACUGAGACACGGUCCAGACUCCUACGGGAGGCAGCAGUGGGGAAUAUUGCACAAUGGGGGAAACCCUGAUGCAGCCAUGCCGCGUGUAUGAAGAAGGCCUUCGGGUUGUAAAGUACUUUCAGUCGUGAGGAAGGGGUAUAGGUUAAUAGCUUAUAUCUUUGGACGUUAGCGACAGAAGAAGCACC